CCUAACACAUGCAAGUCGAACGGUAACAGGAAACAGCUUGCUGUUUCGCUGACGAGUGGCGGACGGGUGAGUAAUGUCUGGGAAACUGCCUGAUGGAGGGGGAUAACUACUGGAAACGGUAGCUAAUACCGCAUAACGUCGCAAGACCAAAGAGGGGGACCUUCGGGCCUCUUGCCAUCGGAUGUGCCCAGAUGGGAUUAGCUAGUAGGUGGGGUAACGGCUCACCUAGGCGACGAUCCCUAGCUGGUCUGAGAGGAUGACCAACCACACUGGAACUGAGACACGGUCCAGACUCCUACGGGAGGCAGCAGUGGGGAAUAUUGCACAAUGGGCGCAAGCCUGAUGCAGCCAUGCCGCGUGUAUGAAGAAGGCCUUCGGGUUGUAAAGUACUUUCAGCGGGGAGGAAGGGAGUAAAGUUAAUACCUUUGCUCAUUGACGUUACCCGCAGAAGAAGCACCGGCUAACUCCGUGCCAGCAGCCGCGGUAAUACGGAGGGUGCAAGCGUUAAUCGGAAUUACUGGGCGUAAAGCGCACGCAGGCGGUUUGUUAAGUCAGAUGUGAAAUCCCCGGGCUCAACCUGGGAACUGCAUCUGAUACUGGCAAGCUUGAGUCUCGUAGAGGGGGGUAGAAUUCCAGGUGUAGCGGUGAAAUGCGUAGAGAUCUGGAGGAAUACCGGUGGCGAAGGCGGC
RNAcentral lists this ribosomal RNA (689 nucleotides) under uncultured Pseudomonadota bacterium. RNAcentral describes it as "bacterial SSU rRNA". It matches the Rfam family "Bacterial small subunit ribosomal RNA", at positions 47 to 725 of the family's 1533-position model. The record is from RNAcentral. Lineage: Bacteria; Pseudomonadati; Pseudomonadota.